Molecule: ribosomal RNA, 429 nt
Filed under: Chloroflexota bacterium
Lineage: Bacteria; Bacillati; Chloroflexota
Description: Chloroflexi bacterium partial 16S ribosomal RNA
Rfam family: Bacterial small subunit ribosomal RNA
Source: RNAcentral
UGGGGAAUAUUGCACAAUGGGCGCAAGCCUGAUGCAGCCAUGCCGCGUGUGUGAAGAAGGCCUUCGGGUUGUAAAGCACUUUCAGCGGGGAGGAAGGCGAUAAGGUUAAUAACCUUGUCGAUUGACUUCACCCGCAGAAGAAGCACCGGCUAACUCCGUGCCAGCAGCCGCGGUAAUACGGAGGGUGCAAGCGUUAAUCGGAAUUACUGGGCGUAAAGCGCACGCAGGCGGUCUGUCAAGUCGGAUGUGAAAUCCCUGGGCUCAACCUGGGAACUGCAUUCGAAACUGGCAGGCUAGAGUCUUGUAGAGGGGGGUAGAAUUCCAGGUGUAGCGGUGAAAUGCGUAGAGAUCUGGAGGAAUACCGGUGGCGAAGGCGGCCCCCUGGACAAAGACUGACGCUCAGGUGCGAAAGCGUGGGGAGCAAACAGG